AUGAACGCUGGCGGCGUGCUUAACACAUGCAAGUCGAACGAUGAUCCCAGCUUGCUGGGGGAUUAGUGGCGAACGGGUGAGUAACACGUGAGUAACCUGCCCUUGACUCUGGGAUAAGCCUGGGAAACUGGGUCUAAUACCGGAUACGACCAUCUGGCGCAUGUCAUGGUGGUGGAAAGCUUUUUUGUGGUUUUGGAUGGACUCGCGGCCUAUCAGCUUGUUGGUGGGGUAAUGGCCUACCAAGGCGACGACGGGUAGCCG
Molecule: ribosomal RNA, 261 nt
Filed under: Arthrobacter sp. ISO109_OTU1262
Lineage: Bacteria; Bacillati; Actinomycetota; Actinomycetes; Micrococcales; Micrococcaceae
Also listed under: 1 other name
Description: partial 16S ribosomal RNA
Rfam family: Bacterial small subunit ribosomal RNA
Source: RNAcentral